This 79-nucleotide transfer RNA is filed under the name Phocaeicola dorei. RNAcentral's name for it is "Bacteroides dorei tRNA-Ile". Lineage: Bacteria; Pseudomonadati; Bacteroidota; Bacteroidia; Bacteroidales; Bacteroidaceae. The record is from RNAcentral.
AGUCCUAUAGCUCAGUUGUUAGAGCGCCUACACUGAUAAUGUAGACGGUCGGCAGUUCAACUCUGCCUGGGGACUACGA